UGUGCCCUCCUUGGGCAGGGCCAAUAGGGAGGGAGGCUGAACCAGCCUCCUGCUUCCAGCAGCGCCCUGGGCUACAGGCCAUUACUGCCCCCCCCACAAGAAUCGGGGCUCCAAGGUCUUAGAGCAGGGAGCCGGCGAACCCAGCUAGGCCCCAGCUGACUGCUGGAAGGGCCCACGGAGACCCUCCCAGCAAACUGAGUCUCAGAGAAGAGGGGCACGUCCUGUGCUAAGAAAGGCGCGGGGCCUCAGCGGGGUCUCCACCACCGAGGUCCCGGGAGUCCUGGGAAUCACUAAGAACUCAUCCCUCCGGCCGGAGACGCAGCCUUCCCAAGCUUCAAAUGAGCGGGAAGGGGCCAGAGAGGGAAACCGAGGCUCCUUACAAGGGGUGAGGGCUCCGCGGAGAGGGGGAUCCCAGCUCCGACCUCGAUCCCCGGGUCCGAGGAUUUCCUCGGCUUCAGGGCCAAACCCCUAAGCAGGCUCCCUCAGCGUCUCGCUCCGCGCGCCUAGCCCCCCCUCCCCCAACCCCCUGGCGGACAAGGCACGUGUUUGACAAAUGGCCCUUCGCUCCUUUCCGCCGGCGACGAUCCUCCUGGCCACACGGUGGCACUAGAGGCCUCCCUGGCACCCGGCCCAGAUGAGGGCGUCGGAGCAUGUACUUUACCAAGAGCCCCUCCCGGGGCCUACGUUUGUUACAAGGAUGACGACAAGACAGCUCAGAUGGGGGACGGGUGGGGGAGGGAGGGAGCAGCAGCAGCUCCCUUGCUUUCAUCAGCGUUGGCUAAAGGAAUGAAUGAAGGCGCUGCCGGUGGGUGACAGAAGGGACCCGCCAGGCUCCGGUCCUCUUUCCUCGCCUUUACAAAGGAGCCGACCGAACGUCGGGAGGCCCGGGUUCAAAUCUGCCCUCGGAGGCUGGAGUGCCCCGCCCCCUGCAGGGGCUUCCUGGAUGCCAAGCUGUGAGACCCUCGAGCUAGUGAAUUGGCCUCUCUGGGCCACCGUCACAGGGCAACACUGACCUCCGGGCGGGCGGGGAAGGCUGGGCGAGCCGCAGAGCUCUCCAGAGACGGCCCACAAGUUCACUGGCAUUAUCAUCAUCAUCGCCCGGGGGAGGGGGGCGGGGUAACUCUUAGGGGUGCCCAAUCGAAUCGGAUCCGUCUUCCUACCCCCCUCUCCCAACUCCUUUAGGCCUGGGACUGCGACUGCAUUUAUUAAGCGCCAGCCGGCCCCACGCAGAAGCCUGCCCUUACUAAGCCUCUACAGUAUGCAGGAAGAUGAGACCUUCAGAACUGAGCCAACUCCUACUGCCAAUCGCCUCCCCACCAGCCUGGGACGUGUAUUCUGCCCCUGCCAGCAACCCACACGUGAAUAAGCAACACACUCGUGGGAAUGUGCUGUAAGAGGCCUGGAGUGGAAUUUCAGGGGAGGAUGCCUUCCCGCUGAAGAAAUCUGGGAAGGUUUCCUGGAAGAGGAGGCUUAAAGGAAGGAUAGAAUUUCCAGAGGAAGCAUUUGUUUACUUUGAGCUGAGGGGAGACUCAUCACCUGAUAUCACAGUACUCGAUGCGUCCCUGAAAAACAGAGAGGAAGAAGAUGAGGAGGAGGAGGAGGAAGGGCGCAGUACCGAGGGAGGCAAGCAGGCAGCACAGUGCAGGUCAGCGCCCGGCUUGCAACGCACUGACCUGCCCCCACACAAACACACACUGCCCGGGCCCGGGGCCACUGGCUGGGCAGGGGCCCGGGGUACGGGAGGGGCAGCCGCUCACCUUUCGGAUCCGCCGCUUGAUGAUGGAUUCGGCCGCAAACACCCGCUCUCCCACUGCAGACAGCUCCAUCUUGUUCAGCAGCGCCCACAGCCCAUAAUACUUGAGCUCCCUCCUCCCGCGGCGGCUGCUGCACCGCUCGCGCACGCGCGCCCCGAGCACCCAGACUUAGACACGCUCCAGCCCCGGGCCCCCGCCGCUCUCCGGCUCGCCUUCAGUGGCUCGCGCUGCCGCGCGGGCACCACGUGACUGGCACCGUUACCAGGGCCUACACCUCCCCGGGGGCGGUUGCUAGGGAAAGGGAAGAGCGCGCGCUGGCUCUUAAAGGGACCCCGCCCCCGAGAAGACUUGGAGAAGGGGGGAGGGAAGGAAGAGGGGGAGAGAGAGGGAGGGAGUAGAGAGGCAGGAAGACAGGAGGAGGGAGAGGGGCGGAGGGGAGGAGGGAGAGGAAGAGGACGGGGGUUGGGAAGUAGAACGGGAGGGAGCAAGAAGAGAAAAAGGAGAAGAUGAAGAGGAGGCUAGAAGGAGGAAGAAAGGAGGAGACAGAUGUGGGAAGGAGGAUGGGAAGAGAAAGAAAAGCAGGGAAGGAGGAGAGAGCAAGAAAGGAUGAGGGAGGGGAAGAGAAGGAAGGAAGAAGAGGGAAGAAAAGGAAAAGAGGGAACCAAGAGGAAAGAAGGAAGGG
Non-coding RNA from Monodelphis domestica (gray short-tailed opossum), 2436 nucleotides. NCBI's taxonomy places the organism in Eukaryota, Metazoa, Chordata, Mammalia, Didelphimorphia, Didelphidae. The record is from RefSeq and is a predicted model, not a curated record.